AACGAACGCUGGCGGCAGGCCUAACACAUGCAAGUCGAGCGCGCCCUUCGGGGUGAGCGGCGGACGGGUGAGUAACGCGUGGGAACGUGCCCUUUUCUACGGAAUAGCCUCGGGAAACUGAGAGUAAUACCGUAUACGCCCUUUGGGGGAAAGAUUUAUCGGAAAAGGAUCGGCCCGCGUUGGAUUAGGUAGUUGGUGGGGUAAUGGCCUACCAAGCCGACGAUCCAUAGCUGGUUGGAGAGGAUGAGCAGCCACACUGGGACUGAGACACGGCCCAGACUCCUACGGGAGGCAGCAGUGGGGAAUCUUAGACAAUGGGGGCAACCCUGAUCUAGCCAUGCCGCGUGAGUGAUGAAGGCCUUAGGGUUGUAAAGCUCUUUCAGCUGGGAAGAUAAUGACGGUACCAGCAGAAGAAGCCCCGGCUAACUCCGUG
This 433-nucleotide ribosomal RNA is filed under the name uncultured bacterium. RNAcentral's name for it is "partial 16S ribosomal RNA". It matches the Rfam family "Bacterial small subunit ribosomal RNA", at positions 29 to 507 of the family's 1533-position model. The record is from RNAcentral.